ACCAUGUUUAUAUUAUAGUGUCCAAUAAAGGCACUGCUUAUCUAUUGUAUCAUCUAAUUGUAGCUUUUCGAUCUUCGGAUUUAACCUGAAAUAGUUGUGUACAAUUUUAUCACUUUGCCAGUAUUGUUUCAAUUUAGUGCAAGAGAAUGGGCUCAAGUGUUUACCUGGAGGUUCUCUAAAAUUGUAGUUGCUUUUGUUUUAAUCUUGUCAUAAUUUUUCUCAUGUUAAGCAUCAUUGAGAUGGAAUAGACAAAUAAUAUAAAUCUUG
Molecule: unclassified non-coding RNA, 267 nt
Filed under: Hevea brasiliensis (rubber tree)
Lineage: Eukaryota; Viridiplantae; Streptophyta; Magnoliopsida; Malpighiales; Euphorbiaceae
Source: RNAcentral